RNAcentral lists this ribosomal RNA (549 nucleotides) under Colpodella sp. Its description in RNAcentral is "SSU rRNA". It matches the Rfam family "Eukaryotic small subunit ribosomal RNA", at positions 498 to 1069 of the family's 1831-position model. The record is from RNAcentral. Lineage: Eukaryota; Colpodellaceae.
AAGUGCCGUGAUUGCAUGAGUAGAUUUUACAACUUCUCCUAUCCGAGAAACAAUUUGGAGGGCAAGUCCUGGUGCCAGCAGCCGCGGUAAUUACCAGCUCCAAUAGCGUAUAUUAAAGUUGUUGCAGUUAAAAAGCUCGUAGUUGAAUUUCUGUCCAUCGGUCACCAACACAAUUGUGUUCGUGUGACUGGUGGGCAUCCUUCUAAGCGUUCCUUACGGAUACGUUUAGAGCCUUUACUGUGAGAAAAUUAGAGCGUUCCAAGCAAGCGAUUGCUUUGAAUACUACAGCAUGGAAUAAUACUAUAGGACUUUUGUGCCUAUUUGUUGGUGUUAGGCCGAAAGUAAUGAUUAAUAGGGGCAGUCGGGGGCAUUCGUAUUUGGCAGCCAGAGGUGAAAUUCUUGGACUUGCCAAAGACGAACUACUGCGAAAGCAUUUGCCAAGGAUGUUCCCAUUAAUCAAGAACGAAAGUUAGGGGAUCGAAGACGAUUAGAUACCGUCGUAGUCUUAACAAUAAACUAUGCCGACUAGAGAUUGGAGGUUGUUCCUUA